UAGAGUCUUUGCAAGACCAACGGCCU
RNAcentral lists this non-coding RNA (26 nucleotides) under Mus musculus (house mouse). Lineage: Eukaryota; Metazoa; Chordata; Mammalia; Rodentia; Muridae. The record is from RNAcentral.